RNAcentral lists this long non-coding RNA (685 nucleotides) under Homo sapiens (human). Its description in RNAcentral is "HSALNT0254570". The record is from RNAcentral. Lineage: Eukaryota; Metazoa; Chordata; Mammalia; Primates; Hominidae.
CCCAGCCAUAGUUUCACAACACCGUCCCGCAGGGACGCGCGCACAGUCGCCCAGUUAUCCAAAGACACAAGUGUCCCGCAGCCGCACAAUGCGGGCGGCGCUCACAACACAACACGCGCCAGCACGUGGAUGUGCAGACACACGCGGACACAGAAAGCGGCGGAGCCGACGCGCCGGGACCCGCGGCCCCAAGGAAAAACCAGCCACCAUGUUGUAAGGAUGCUCAAGUAGCACUAUGGAGAUUCACACGUGGCAAAGAGCUGAGGCCUCCCACCAACAGCCACAUGAGGGAGCCAGAGUAGGAGUGGCUCCUCCAGCCCCAGUCGAACCUUCAGAUGUGACAGACUUGGCUGCUGACAGUUUGCAAUCUCAUGAGACCCUGAGCCAGAACCACCCAGCUAAAUCAGUCCUGGACUCCUGAUCAACAGAAAUGGUGUAGACCAAAGAGAGGCGUUUUGAACAUUAAGACGCUUUGCUGCUUCUCACCUGAAACACGUAACAGGAACACCAACCUCUUCAGCCGCGGGAAAUCUUCUUUGACACAAAACUCAAACCGAGUCAACCCAAAGUUCCAAGUUCUUUGCUUUCUCUUCUGUGUGUGUGUUGGUUUGUCCCAAAAGUCAGUUUGCAAGUUGAAACUUCAUGAAAUUACUCGUAGCAGAAAUAAAGUACAUUGUACAAAUCA